RNAcentral lists this transfer RNA (65 nucleotides) under Microceramus pontificus. RNAcentral describes it as "tRNA-Pro". Lineage: Eukaryota; Metazoa; Mollusca; Gastropoda; Stylommatophora; Urocoptidae. The record is from RNAcentral.
UUAAAAAUAGUUUAAAUAAAACAUUGAUUUUGGAGAUCAAAAAUUGAUGAGUUUCAUUUUUGAAC